GAUGAAGAACGUAGCGAAACGCGAUAGGUAAUGUGAAUUGCAGAAUUCCGUGAAUCAUCUAAUCUUUGAACGCACCUUGCGCUCCAUGGCAUUCCGUGGAGCAUGCCUGUUUGAGUGCCGCGAAAUCUCCCACCCCUAGCGGUUGCCGCAAGGCGCCGCCGGGCGGCGGGGUUGGUUGGGUGCCGCUGCCUGGGCUUUGGCCCAGGCUCGCCCGAAAUGCAUGAGCGCUUAGCACUCGCACCGUCUCGAGGGAAGGCGGCGGAGCUGGCAUCUGCGCAUGGCAUGAUACGUCAUUUGCUGUGUGGCAGCCCAGCGACCCGAGAGUGUGUGCGCUACUACACGCCCUUUCAUUUCUGGUCUCAAAUCAGGUAGGAUCACCCGCUGAACUUAAGCAUAUCAAUAAGCGGAGGA
This 411-nucleotide unclassified non-coding RNA is filed under the name soil metagenome. RNAcentral's name for it is "partial contains 5.8S ribosomal RNA, internal transcribed spacer 2, and large subunit ribosomal RNA". The stretch from base 1 to 120 matches the Rfam family "5.8S ribosomal RNA", at positions 35 to 154 of the family's 154-position model. The record is from RNAcentral.